Molecule: transfer RNA, 68 nt
Filed under: Cleridae sp. 1 ACP-2013
Lineage: Eukaryota; Metazoa; Arthropoda; Insecta; Coleoptera; Cleridae
Description: tRNA-Ser
Source: RNAcentral
UAGUCAAUGAACUUGUAUAAGUAUAUAUUUUGAAAAUAUAAUAAAGAGAUAUUAAAUCUCUAUUGACU